Non-coding RNA from Spinacia oleracea (spinach), 180 nucleotides. NCBI's taxonomy places the organism in Eukaryota, Viridiplantae, Streptophyta, Magnoliopsida, Caryophyllales, Amaranthaceae. The record is from Rfam.
UGUCAACAACAGGAGGCACCCAUGGGACUUACAAAAUCUCUCAAUGCCUUGGCAGUCGGUUUGGCGUUUUUGUUCGUAGCGAUGAUGCUUUUCAUCUGACGAGACGUGAAGACCAAACGCAGAUAAGAACCGUAGAUGACACGAAUUUAAAAAGCGCAGGCCCCGAGGGACCUGCGCUUU